Molecule: long non-coding RNA, 1588 nt
Organism: Gadus morhua (Atlantic cod)
Lineage: Eukaryota; Metazoa; Chordata; Actinopteri; Gadiformes; Gadidae
Source: Ensembl
AUGCUGCACGUCAUGAAUGCUCAGACUCACUUAGUCUCGCUUGCCCGUGUGUUGCCCCGUCACUCUCAUUGUGCUGAUGCCGUUUGGUUGUGCGUGACCGUGUCUGAAGCUGGCGUACAGGUCCUUCAGGCCCUCCCGCUCCCGCUGGAGACGCCUCCGUCUCCACCUCCUCCGGCACCGUCCUCCACCCCUCCCCCACCACCACCACCACCACCACCACAGGUUGCGGCUGCUCCGCCGACGGUCGGACUUCCUGCUCGGGCUCCGGCGCAGACCAGGGUGGAGCCUCGUGGCGUCUCCGUGGAGGAGACGCCAUGCGGGGAGGCCACCCUGGCGCCGGAGCCCGAGAAGAAGAGGAGGAAGACGACGACGACGAAGGGCGACGUGGAGCAGCCGGCAACGCCCGCUCCUGCUCGGGCUGAGACCCGGUUGGCUGAGGGCUGGCGGACAGCCCUCACCGGGGAGGAGCAGGAGCUGAACAGUAGGACCCUCUCGCUGUGGUUCACCCGGACGCAGCGAGAGAAGGAGAGGGCUGUGUUGACUCCAGGCGUUGCAGCAGACGGAGGACGACCACCGGCGGCGGCCGCGGCGACAGCGCCGGGCCCGGCCUCGGCAGCGGCGGUGGAUCGUCCGGCGGCAGCAGCGACGGCGACGUCGGCGGUGCCUCAAGGCCGGGCGACGCCAGCGGCAGCGAGGGGGGCGGCGGUGGCCCCGGCAGCGGCCCCGGCUGUGGCAGCACCGGGGCCCGCUCUGCCGGCGCCCAGACGGCUACUGGCGCCUCGACAGCCCGCCCCCUCGGCUGCUUACCCGGCCUUCCUGCCGACUGCUGCUGCCGCAGCUGCAACUGGACCUUUAAGAGCAGCACAGCCUCUCCUUGUGGACCUCUUACUGCCCCGGCAGAGUGUGUGGGUGCUCCCCGUCCCCGUCCUGACGCUCCCUCGGACACUGCCGGCUCCACACGUCCUCCCUCCGCCGCUGGCCGCCGCACAGCACGCCGGCCCUGAGCUGCCGGUAGCCCUGCCCGCCGCGCAGCACGCCGGCCCUGAGCUGCCUGUACCCCUGCCCGCCGCACAGCACGCCGGCCCUGAGCUGCCUGUACCCCUGCCCGCAGCACAGCACGCCGGCCCUGAGCUGCCGGUAGCCCUCAAAACGGUAGAACGGAGGAGGCUGAACGCCAAGCGGCGGGCGGAGGCACAGCCGGGCACAACAUACUCCUCCCGGGCCGGCGUGCCACAGGUGCAUAAGUGCAGUAAAUGCGGCCAGCCGAGGCGGAGGGAGACCGGACACUCCCGCCACGGCAGAGAAUACUUCUGCUCCGUCGCGGCGGGUCAGAGUGUGGAGGACUGGCUGAGGGAGAAGAGGAGCGGGACCAGGGUGGAGCCCCGCACUGAUGCGCACUCUUGCCGGGGAUGGUGUUGUACAUAGUUCUCUUUUGUAUAUAGUUGUUUUUCUGUUGUGUAUAUAGUUAUUUUGCUGUGUUAGUGUAUAUAGUUGUUUGCUGUAUAUAGUUUUCAUUUUGCAGGGUUAGUGUGUAUAUAGUUCUUUGUUUUGUUGGAUAGCUUCUAAGUUAGUGCAUACACACUGCCUU